Molecule: transfer RNA, 85 nt
Filed under: Felis catus (domestic cat)
Lineage: Eukaryota; Metazoa; Chordata; Mammalia; Carnivora; Felidae
Also listed under: 1 other name
Rfam family: tRNA
About the family: Transfer RNA (tRNA) molecules are approximately 80 nucleotides in length. Their secondary structure includes four short double-helical elements and three loops (D, anti-codon, and T loops).
Source: Rfam by way of RNAcentral
GCCUGGGUGGCUCAGUCAGUGAAGCGUCUGACUUAGGCUCAGGUCAUGAUCUCAUGGUUUGUGAGUUUGAGUCUCGCAUCGGGUG